This 599-nucleotide ribosomal RNA is filed under the name uncultured bacterium. RNAcentral's name for it is "bacterial SSU rRNA". It matches the Rfam family "Bacterial small subunit ribosomal RNA", at positions 47 to 647 of the family's 1533-position model. The record is from RNAcentral.
CCUAACACAUGCAAGUCGAACGGUAGAGUAGCAAUACUUGAGAGUGGCGAACGGGUGAGUAAUAUAUCGGAACGUGCCCAGUCGUGGGGGAUAACGUAGAGAAAUUUACGCUAAUACCGCAUACGAUCUAAGGAUGAAAGCGGGGGACCGUAAGGCCUCGCGCGAUUGGAGCGGCUGAUAUCAGAUUAGGUUGUUGGUGAGGUAAAAGCUCACCAAGCCGACGAUCUGUAGCUGGUUUGAGAGAACGACCAGCCACACUGGGACUGAGACACGGCCCAGACUCCUACGGGAGGCAGCAGUGGGGAAUUUUGGACAAUGGGCGAAAGCCUGAUCCAGCAAUGCCGCGUGCAGGAAGAAGGCCUUCGGGUUGUAAACUGCUUUUGUACGGAACGAAACGGUCUGCUUUAAUACAGUGGGCUAAUGACGGUACCGUAAGAAUAAGCACCGGCUAACUACGUGCCAGCAGCCGCGGUAAUACGUGGGGUGCGAGCGUUAAUCGGAAUUACUGGGCGUAAAGCGUGCGCAGGCGGUUAUAUAAGACAGUUGUGAAAUCCCCGGGCUCAACCUGGGAAUUGCAUCUGUGACUGUAUAGCUAGAGU